AAGAGAAGGACGGCUGCUCCUUCCUCUUCCUGCAAGCAAGGAAGGCAAGGGAGGCGCGUGAAGGCAGCUGCGUCCUCCACUCUCUCUUUUUUUGGCUAGGGAAUAGAGUAUGUUGCUUUGUGUUUGUUUAUUCAGCUCACACAAUUUAUACAUUGCAAGAAGAAGAAGAAGAGGAGCGGUUUGCAAAAAGAGGGAAAUCUAGGGUGGAAUUGCAACAUAGAAUUGUAGAGUUGUUGGAAAGAGGCCCCGGCCCCGAGGACAUCUAGCCCAACCCCCUGCAAUGCAAAAGUUAAAAUGCUAAACCAGGUUAAAAAUUACGCCCUCUGGGGGCGUCCCACCUGUCUCCAGAGACUAUGGAGAAGUGUGCUUUCAGGGGCUGAAGUUGGAAGGUUGCAGCGCCCCCUGUGGCUGUAGAGAAGUCGGGAGAGACAUGCUUUGAUGCAGCUGGGGCAGAUGAAGGUGUUUGGUUGUGGCGAUGCAGGUGUGCCAUUUCAUCUCUCUGCACCCCUCCCAGCAGUCAUUCCUCUGGUCACUGCUGUGGAUACAUAACCUGACGGAUGGUUUCCAUGUGCUGUAGUUGUCUAGCAAGGGAUUCCCAUACGGUGGAGUUAAUGUAGCCAGCCUUCUUGUCUUUUUUGCAGACAUCUUUGUAAUGCAUACGUCUGCCUGGUGUCUAAAGCCAGCUCCCCGUAAAGCACAUCUUUAGGGAUCCUGCACCUUCCAUUCUGUGGGCAUGACCAAUCCAGCAUAGACGCCCUCUGUCCUGCCUUGUGAUGCCCUAAAUUUCCUGAUGCAGCUCAUGUGGAAGGUGUUGAUGCAGCUUGUUUAUACAAGUUAUGUUGAUCGAAGUUGAUGCAGCUCAUGUUGCUCCUGGCAAGUUGGUUAAGAGUGUGUUUUCUAAAACGGAAGAAAAGCAGUUGAAGAAUGAUACAGUUGAGAACUAAAGUUGACGGCAUUUCUGAGGAACCCACAAUAAAGUGGCCCUGAGGAGAAGGAAUCUAGUGAUUCGGUAUGGAAAACAAGGCUGGACUGGAAGCAGCUGGCCAGGAACAACACCAAUUCUCGGGAGAAAAUUUGCUCAGGGAGCAUUGCUGUCCGUGCUUUGUUUUCAACAACUGCUGAGGAAGAACUGGCUGGUGUCUUAUGUGCUGCUGUGUGAAAUUGGGAGAGGAGCUGGCCUGCAAACACCUUAGCUGGGGGAAGAACAGGUUCCCCAAAGGAGCAAGAGGCUUCAAUUUUGAGAAGCUCUUUUGGUCUAAGAUGUUUAACAGAGUGCAAGCCAGAGGAACACUGCUGGAAUAGUGGUGAUAGAGACAAAGACGAGGCUUCAUUUGAUGUGGUAACAACGUGCCCUGAGCUCAGCUGAGGUAACCUGGAAAAGCAAAUAAGACUUGUGAUCUCUGUUGUCAAUCAGAUAAUGCAAACUGUUGUAGAUCAAUUAUUUUUGGCUUUGUUGUCUAAGCUUAUCGCUCAUGAAGUGCUGAAUAUGACAGGGCAGCAAUGAGGCUAUUGCUUCUGUAUAUUUGUGCCCAAUUAAAACAAGCGAGUGUAGAGGAGGCAUAGA
This is a non-coding RNA of Zootoca vivipara (common lizard), 1564 nucleotides long. Lineage: Eukaryota; Metazoa; Chordata; Lepidosauria; Squamata; Lacertidae. The record is from RefSeq and is a predicted model, not a curated record.